This 379-nucleotide ribosomal RNA is filed under the name uncultured eukaryote. RNAcentral's name for it is "partial 18S ribosomal RNA". It matches the Rfam family "Eukaryotic small subunit ribosomal RNA", at positions 592 to 975 of the family's 1831-position model. The record is from RNAcentral.
CAAUAGCGUAUAUUAAAGUUGUUGCGGUUAAAAAGCUCGUAGUUGGAUUUCUGCUGAGAACGACCGGUCCGCCCUCUGGGUGUGUAUCUGGCUCUUUCUUGGCAUCUUCUUGGUGAACGUUGCUGCACUUGACUGUGUGGAGCGCUACCCAGGACUUUUACUUUGAGGAAAUUAGAGUGUUUCAAGCAGGCAUACGCCUUGAAUACAUUAGCAUGGAAUAAUAAGAUAGGACCUCGGUUCUAUUUUGUUGGUUUCUAGAGCUGAGGUAAUGAUUAAUAGGGAUAGUUGGGGGCAUUCGUAUUUAACUGUCAGAGGUGAAAUUCUUGGAUUUAUGAAAGACGAACUUCUGCGAAAGCAUUUGCCAAGGAUGUUUUCAUUG